GGUCUAAUAGUGUAGAGGUUAUAACAUGGGAUUUUGAUGCCAUCAAACUUCCCAUAACCCAGGUUCGAGUCCUUUUGGUCUG
This is a non-coding RNA of Lentinula edodes (shiitake mushroom), 82 nucleotides long. The record is from the annotation of a RefSeq genome assembly. NCBI's taxonomy places the organism in Eukaryota, Fungi, Basidiomycota, Agaricomycetes, Agaricales, Omphalotaceae.